RNAcentral lists this ribosomal RNA (209 nucleotides) under uncultured bacterium. RNAcentral describes it as "partial 16S ribosomal RNA". It matches the Rfam family "Bacterial small subunit ribosomal RNA", at positions 1285 to 1500 of the family's 1533-position model. The record is from RNAcentral.
GUCUCAGUUCGGAUUGGAGUCUGCAACCCGACUCCAUGAAGCUGGAUUCGCUAGUAAUCGCGCAUCAGCCACGGCGCGGUGAAUACGUUCCCGGGGCCUUGUACACACCGCCCGUCAAGCCAUGGAAGCCGGGGGUGCCUGAAGUGCGCUGCCGCGAGGAGCGCCCUAGGGUAAAACCGGUGACUGGGGCUAAGUCGUAACAAGGUAUC